UUGACCUCAAAUCAGGUGGGACUACCCGCUGAACUUAAGCAUAUCAAUAAGCGGAGGAAAAGAAACUAACAAGGAUUCCCUUAGUAACUGCGAGUGAAGUGGGAAGAGCUCAAAUUUGAAAUCUGGCAGUCUCUGGCUGUCCGAGUUGUAAUCUAGAGAAGUGUUGCCCGCGCUGGACCGUGUACAAGUCUCCUGGGAUGGAGCGUCAUAGAGGGUGAGAAUCCCGUCUCUGACAUGGACUACCAGGGCUUUUGUGGUGCGCUCUCAAAGAGUCGAG
RNAcentral lists this ribosomal RNA (277 nucleotides) under Leucocoprinus gongylophorus. RNAcentral describes it as "Leucoagaricus gongylophorus partial 28S ribosomal RNA". It matches the Rfam family "Eukaryotic large subunit ribosomal RNA", at positions 1 to 269 of the family's 3401-position model. Lineage: Eukaryota; Fungi; Basidiomycota; Agaricomycetes; Agaricales; Agaricaceae. The record is from RNAcentral.